CUUCAGCAUGAGUCAGCGGCAAACACCCUCAAGUCAUGAGCUGGAACGCUCAGAAACGAUAUGUACCUUCAAUCAAAUUACAGAAUUAACUAGGGGAAAAUGAGGAAGAACUUUAGGUACAGACAGCGAGAGAUCUUCAAAAUACUAUUAAAAGAAGAAAGCACUCUCGGUGUAAAAAAGAAGCCGAGGCGAGCAGAUCACUUGACUUCAGGAGUUCAAGACCAGCCCAGCCAAAAUGGUGAAAUCCACCUCCACUAAAAAUACAAAAAUUAGCCAGGCAUGGUGGUGGGUGCCUGUAAUCCCAGCUACUUGGGAGGCUGAUGCAGAAGAAUUACGUGAACCUGGAAGGCGGAGGCUGCAGUGAGCCAAGAUGGUGCCACUACACUCCAGCCUGAAUGACAGAGGAAGACUCCGUCUCAAAAAAAAGAAAAAAGAAGAGGUGCUGCUUAUAAAACAGAAUAUGACAACUUUAUUGGGAGGAAAAAAGGUGUUUGGUAAAAUGAGGAAUGUUAUCAAAAGAGGGGAGGAGAAACUGCUGUUCAAAAAAGUCAAUAUCCUGAAAGGCUGUGGGAAACUUCCAGACUACAAAAAGCUAGAGACAUGAUAACUAAAUACAUUUCCUGACCCUAGACUGGAUCCUGUGCUGGAAGGGAAAAUUCUAGAAAGGACAUUAUAUGGUCAACUCCCAAAAUUAGAAUAUGGACAGGUUAGAAAAAAGUACUGCAUCAAUGUAAAUUUGUGAAAGUGGUAACGUAUUACUGUGGUUAUUUAAGAGAAUAUGCCUAUUCUUAGGAAAUACACAUUCAAGAAUUUAGGAUUAAGUGGCUACAGUGUAUGUAAUCUUCCCUGAAAUCUCAAAGGGUUUGGAAAAAUAUUGUAUGUCUGUAUAUUUGCAUUUGUUAGCCCAUGUCUGUGUGUCUGUAUGUGUAUCCGUAUGAGUGUGUAUUUGCAGACAGAGAAUUCCAGCACACACAAAUGAUUAAGCAAAUGGAUUUAAUCUUAACAACAGGUGGAUCUGGGUAAAGGACCAUCUGGGGAUUCUUUGUACUAUUUUUCUUUCCGCAACUUUUCAAGUUUCAAACUAUUUGCAAAUAAAGAGUUUUUGUU
This 1107-nucleotide long non-coding RNA is filed under the name Homo sapiens (human). RNAcentral describes it as "HSALNT0234543". Lineage: Eukaryota; Metazoa; Chordata; Mammalia; Primates; Hominidae. The record is from RNAcentral.